Panicum virgatum (switchgrass) is the source of this 4233-nucleotide RNA transcript. It is a transcript of the gene named protein transport protein Sec24-like CEF, with no coding region annotated. NCBI's taxonomy places the organism in Eukaryota, Viridiplantae, Streptophyta, Magnoliopsida, Poales, Poaceae. The record is from RefSeq and is a predicted model, not a curated record. The transcript has 23 exons.
CGCUCCCUCGAACGCCUCGACAUAAAAUCCGGCCUCCUUUUCUCUCUCCUCUCCUCCCUCUCCCUCCUUUUCCUUCCUUCCUCAGAUCACGAUCUCCGCCCCGCUCCGCCGGCCCCCGAUCCAUGUCGUCCUCGUCGCCGUCGAGGCCGCCGCCGCCAUUCGCACCGCAAAACCCUACCUCAGCACCCCGGCAGCUCGCGGGGCCAUUCUCCAACAUGCAGAUCUCCCACGCGGGCGCGGCGCCCCCGCCCUUCGCCGGCGGCCCUCCCGGGAGCGGCACCGUGCCGCCCUCGGCGAUCCGCGCUCCCCAGGGCCCCCCGCCGCCCCCCUCGCAGCCGCUUCCGCCGUUCGCCCGGCCUGGCGCGCCGUUGCAGCAGCAGCAGUCCCCGCCUCCCUUCGGCGGCCCGCCACCCGCUCUGGCUUCGCACACGCAGCCGCAGGUGCAGCGGCCGGCGUUCCGUGGACCACCGUCCGGCCCGCCGCCGCAGGUGCAGCGGGCGCCCUUCGGUGGGCCGCCCCCGGGAGUAUCGCAGCAACCUCCGCCGUUCGGUGGGCCGCUCUCUGGAGUGUCGCAGCAGCCUCUGCCGUCCGGCGGGCCGCCAGCCGCUGCGGCAUCGCGGCCUGCUCUGUUCAGUGGGCCGCCAGCAGUGGCGUCUCAGCUGCCGCAGCCUGCAGCGGUGCCACAGCGUUCCCCGUUCGGCGGUCCUGUGGCACUGUCAGGUCAACCCCCUUCACUCGUCGGGGGCUCGUUUACCACUGCUCAGGCGCCAUCGUUCGGCGGCCCGCCGGGGUCAGUGCCUCAGACAGCACCCACAGGUGGGCUGCCACCACCCUUUGGAGGGCCACCAGUGACGCAGCAGGUGCAGUUUGGUGCGCCGCCACCGUUUGGCGGACCAAGUGCAGUUCUGCCAGGUUCGCAGCCUCCAGCAUUUGCUGCAUCACAGGCACCACCAUUCAUGGGUCCUACAGGGGGUAAUGCACCAACCUUUGCCCCUCCGGCCUGGCAGGGCCAGGCACGACCAGGAGCUGUUCCUGGUGGUAUGCAACCAUCUAUGAGAAUGCCUGGCAUGCCUGGUGCCAUGCCACCCAAUGCACUUGGCCAAGGGAUGUCACUUGCACCAACACCCACCAUGCCAUACUCCCCCCAUGCCCAGGUCUCAACCCCAUCCAAAAUUGAUCCUCAUCAAAUUCCACGGCCAGUUCCGGAGACAUCAGUCAUCAUCUUUGAGACCCGGCAAGGUGGACAAGCUGCUAUCCCACCGGCUGCCUCCAGUGAAUUCAUUGUGAAGGACACUGGCAAUUGCAACCCCCGUUUGAUGAGAUGCACAAUGAAUCAAAUACCAUGUACAGGCGAUCUCUUGACAACAUCAGGAAUGCCAUUAGCCUUGUUGGUACAGCCUUUUGCUCUUCCUCAUCCAUCUGAGGAACCUAUCCAGCUUGUGGAUUUUGGAGAGAUGGGCCCCAUCAGGUGUUCGCGCUGCAAAGCGUACAUAAAUUCAUUCAUGAGAUUCAUUGACCAAGGGAAACACUUUAUAUGUAACUUAUGUGGAUUUAGCAAUGAUACUCCAAGGGAGUACUUCUGCAACUUGGGCCCUGAUGGUAGGCGACGUGAUGCUGAUGAAAGGCCUGAGUUGUGUAGAGGAUCAGUUGAAUUUGUUGCUACCAAGGAGUUUCUGGUCCGUGACCCAAUGCCUGCUGUCUAUUUCUUUCUUAUUGAUGUCUCCAUGAAUGCUGUGCAUACUGGUGCAACAGCUGCAGCCUGCAGUGCAAUUUCCCAGGCUCUUUCAGACCUUCCUGAAGGCCCUCGAACUAUGGUUGGAAUUGCUACAUUCGAUUCUGCUAUUCACUUCUACAGCCUGAAAUGUGCUCAACAGCAGCCUUUGAUGCUUAUUGUUCCUGAUGUCCAAGAUGUGUACACUCCGCUUCAAACGGACCUCAUUCUUCCAAUCUCAGAGUGCCGUGAGAAUUUGGAGCAACUUUUGGAGAGCAUCCCAAUCAUGUUUGAGAACAACAGGGUUGCUGAUUCGGCAUUUGGUGCUGCAAUGAAGGCAAGUUUUCUAGCUAUGAAGUCCACCGGUGGAAAGUUGCUUGUAUUUCAGUCAGUGCUACCAUCCUUAGGAAUAGGUUCUUUGUCUGCUAGGGAAGCUGAAGGUAGAUCAAAUAUUUCAACUGGAGACAAGGAGGCGCAUAAGCUUCUUCAGCCUGUUGAUAAGACUCUCAAGACAAUGGCACUAGAAUUUGCUGAGUACCAAGUUUGUGUAGAUGUGUUCCUUAGCACGCAAUCAUAUGUAGAUAUUGCUUCAAUAUCAGUUGUUCCCAAUACAACUGGUGGCCGGGUUUACUACUAUUACCCAUUUUCUGCUCUCUCCGAUCCAGCCAAACUGUAUAAUGAUCUUAGAUGGAAUAUUAGUAGACCACAGGGUUUUGAGGCUGUCAUGCGCAUCAGGUGUAGUCAGGGGCUUCAAGUUCAAGAUUACUUUGGCAAUUUCUGCAAGCGUGUUCCUACUGAUAUUGAUCUUCCUGCGGUUGACUCAGACAAAGCUAUAAUGGUUACUUUUAAGCACGAUGACAAAUUGCAGGAAAAUUCAGAAUGUGCUUUCCAGUGCGCACUUCUCUACACGACAAUUUUUGGGCAAAGGAGGAUACGGGUCAUAAACCUUUCCCUUUCAUGCACAAAUAUGCUCAGUAACCUUUUCCGAUAUGCUGAUCUGGAAACACAAUUCACAUAUGUUGUAAAGCAAGGUGAAUUUACUGCUGCAAAAGGCAUUCCAUCGUUACCUCUUUCUCAAGUUAGGGAUCAAGUAACAAGUACAUGUAUCAAUAUCCUCCAGUCAUACCGAAAGUAUUGUGCAUCUGUAAGUAGUUCUGGGCAAUUGAUUCUUCCGGAGGCUCUGAAACUUCUACCAUUGUAUACUCUAGCUUUAACUAAAAGUGUGGGAUUGCGCAAUGAUGGGAGAUUGGAUGAUCGGUCCUAUUGGGCCUCUAUUGUAUCUUCAAUUUCUGUGCUACUAGCUAUUCCGUUGGUGUUUCCUAGGAUGAUUGCCCUCCAUGAUCUUACAUCAAGGGAAGAUGAUGAUUCCCUUAUACCGAGUCCCCUUACACUCAAUAGCGAGAAUAUACAUGAUGAUGGAGUUUAUUUGUUAGAAAAUGGUGAGUAUGGUUUUAUUUAUGUCGGAAAUUCAGUCAACCCUGUGACCCUAGAGCAAAUAUUCGGUGUCUCGUCUUUGGCUGGAGUACCAAAUCAGGUAAUUCCUUCACCUCAUCUCUCUCCAUUUACCUCAUGUAUUUUAAAUUUACUCCAGAUGUGGAUCACAGCUAGAAUUAUUCAUUACACUUGUUUUAAACCUAAAAUGUGGCAUCCCCUAGUAGACCAAUUUCCCCAAGAAACUGAGCAAAUUUUGUACAGCACUUUAGGAAAACCUGUCUUUAGGACACUGAAAAACAAUUCUUGUCUGUACAAAGAGUGCCCUAUGGACAAUUGUUUUAGUGUCCUACUGAAAAAAUCAUGGAAAUGCUGUACGUCCCAGACAAAUUUCUCAAUUGCUGUAAGUUGAUUAAUGAUUUGCUUGUUUCAGUUUGUACUGGAGCCAUUUGAUAAUGAACUCUCCAGGAAAGUAAAUGAAGUGGUGAAUGAAAUAAGGCGUCAGAGAUGCUCUUACUUGAGAUUGAGACUAUGUAAAAAGGGUGACCCAUCUGGAGAUUUCUUCCGAUCACUAUUAGUUGAGGACAAGGCACCAGGCGGACUUUCCUAUGUUGAGUUUCUUGUACAUGUGCACAGGCAGAUCCAAAGCAAGAUGACGUGAAAUGACCGCCACCUCAUUGUUGUAACAUUUUGGUCAGUAGGAAUCCAGAACAAAAUUGAUUUUUGCAUGAGGAUAAAACAGAAAUGAAUGAACCAAGGACUCUCCAAUCAGUGCAACCUAGUUCUCACCUGGUGAGUCGUCGUAGAAUCGACAUGAUUCUGCAAUCACUUACAAGAUCAGUUUUGGUGUAGGCGAUAUAUGUUUCUGUACAGAGAUGAGUGGACUUUCGUGUCUUCAAUUUUGAAAGUAUUUAUUCUUGUUAACAGCGGCUGUAUUUUGUCGAGAGGAAGCUUAUAGUGGUUGGGCAAUAAUGUUGUAUGUUUAGCCGUGAGAGUCAUUUGGUUGUAAAUGAACAGAAGUAAUGAUUCGCAAAGUGACAUGUUGUGAAUAUCAUGGUUAACAUUCUUUUUGGCCACAUCGGCACACGUCA